CCUACGGGAGGCAGCAGUGGGGAAUAUUGCGCAAUGGGCGAAAGCCUGACGCAGCGACGCCGCGUGGGGGAUGAAGGUCUUCGGAUCGUAAACCUCUGUCAGCAGGGAAGAACGGUCACUGUGCUAAUCAGCAGUGAAUUGACGGUACCUGCAAAGGAAGCACCGGCUAACUCCGUGCCAGCAGCCGCGGUAAUACGGAGGGUGCGAGCGUUAAUCGGAAUUACUGGGCGUAAAGCGCUCGUAGGCGGUAUGUCAAGUCAAGGGUGAAAUCCCCGCGCUCAACGUGGGAACUGCAUUUGAAACUGGCAAGCUGGAGUGUUUGAGAGGGUAGGAGAAUUCCAGGUGUAGGAGUGAAAUCCGUAGAUAUGUGGAGGAACAUCAGUGGCGAAGGCGACUAUCUGGCAAAUAACUGACGCUGAGGAGCGAAAGCGUGGGUAGCAAACAGGAUUAGAUACCCCUGUAGUC
This 465-nucleotide ribosomal RNA is filed under the name uncultured bacterium. RNAcentral's name for it is "partial 16S ribosomal RNA". It matches the Rfam family "Bacterial small subunit ribosomal RNA", at positions 338 to 795 of the family's 1533-position model. The record is from RNAcentral.